Molecule: long non-coding RNA, 1210 nt
Organism: Carya illinoinensis
Lineage: Eukaryota; Viridiplantae; Streptophyta; Magnoliopsida; Fagales; Juglandaceae
Exons: 2
Source: RefSeq, a predicted model, not a curated record
AUUACAGUAAGCACACGUCCAGAUAAAUCCCUCUCUCUUUCCUCUUUCCUCUUCCCUCUUUCCUCUUUCCUCUUCUCUCCCCGUAACCCUCUUCCUCUCCAAUUCGAACCCAUCUUCUUCCCCUUCAAGAAAUUUAUGGCCAUGCAUGCAUGCUUGUUUGCUUUCAAAUAAAAUAGAGCCUAGAUCGAAUGUGAAUCUAGGGCCAAUCCAAGGGUGGAGAAGCGCUUACUUCUGCAUUAUGUAUAACAAAUUAGCAAGUUGCUUGGAAAAGGACCAGCUUACAGACACCGGAGUGGUGAAUGUGAGCAAAGAAGAGAUAGAAGAAUACUGCAAGAAAGGAGGGUGCCGCGAGCACAUUGGGUAUGUGCUAAAGUGCAUCCAUGACGUGAAAAGAGACUUCUGGUUCGCCAACAACAUCACUGUCAGGCUCCUCAAUGAGAGCAUUUCUGAUGGAUGUGCCAAAAAUGAAGGUAGAAUUCCAUGAUGAUGUUCUUGACUUAAUUGGUUUCUGAUUUUUUUUUUUUUUUUUGGUGUUUUAAUUUCGUGUUUUUGCCAUAUGUUGUUCUUGGGGCACGAUGGCAAGAUCAACUUGGUUCUAUUUUCGUUUUAUUUUCUGGCCGAAUGGAACUUGAAGCGCUGCAACCAAACAACGAAAUGGAGAAGAAAAAAAAGAGUAACAUUAACAAAUCUGGGUCCUGAUGCAAACGAGUUGACAAAGAAAAAAAAUUACAUUAGGCGACGAUAGGCCUUACCGGAAGAUGUUAUUCGGCGUUUAAGAUAGCCAGAUGGCCACGACGUCGAAGACGGCAAAAGAAAGGACUCCGCUUGGGCAACGAUGGUUCUGCGUUCAAUCCGUGACCUUGGGCAACGAUGAUGUAGUGUUUUCACAGAGACCUUGGGCAAAAUCUGUAACAGUCCAACAUGUGAAAGGAGAUGUAACAGGGUCUUGGGCUCGUGGGCCUUAUUGUUGUUUUGUUAUGUUAUUUUCCUUAGCUUGCUUAUAGUUUGUGGACCUAAAUGUAGAACGGGCUGAGCCCAUAGAGUAUGUGUAGGUCCUUGGUCUAUCUUGUUUUGUUCUAGUUUGCUUGAUAGUCAGCCCAAGCCCAAGUUAGGGAUAAGCAAUCUUUCGUUUGGCUAUAUGUACGAGCCUUAGUGCUCCAGAGGAAUCAUCCAGAAAAUUAAUAGAAUUCUCAUUUUCAAGUUUAUCUUC